Small nucleolar RNA from Erinaceus europaeus (western European hedgehog), 131 nucleotides. Its record names the gene SNORA70. It matches the Rfam family "Small nucleolar RNA SNORA70". From Rfam's summary of the family: snoRNA U70 seems to be exclusive to mammals and is a member of the H/ACA class of snoRNA which contain H (ANANNA) and ACA box motifs. H/ACA box snoRNAs are involved in the conversion of uridines to pseudouridines (5-ribosyluracil) a constituent of structural RNAs (transfer, ribosomal, small nuclear, and small nucleolar). Lineage: Eukaryota; Metazoa; Chordata; Mammalia; Eulipotyphla; Erinaceidae. The record is from Ensembl.
UUGCAUGGCGGAGGCUGCGCCACUUUCCUCCCUGUGGGGCCUGGUGUACAGUGGCUGUGAACAGCAACUUCCUGGGUAGUUUGUGCAGCCUGUUCCUUGUACAGGUUGCCUAAGGGACCCUGGAGACCGUC